Molecule: ribosomal RNA, 409 nt
Filed under: uncultured bacterium
Lineage: Bacteria
Description: bacterial SSU rRNA
Rfam family: Bacterial small subunit ribosomal RNA
Source: RNAcentral
GUGGGGAAUAUUGGACAAUGGGGGGAACCCUGAUCCAGCGACGCCGCGUGAGUGAAGAAGUAUUUCGGUAUGUAAAGCUCUAUCAGCAGGGAAGAAAGAAAUGACGGUACCUGACUAAGAAGCCCCGGCUAACUACGUGCCAGCAGCCGCGGUAAUACGUAGGGGGCAAGCGUUAUCCGGAUUUACUGGGUGUAAAGGGAGCGUAGACGGCAAUGCAAGUCUGGAGUGAAAGGCGGGGGCCCAACCCCCGGACUGCUCUGGAAACUGUAUAGCUGGAGUGCAGGAGAGGUAAGUGGAAUUCCUAGUGUAGCGGUGAAAUGCGUAGAUAUUAGGAGGAACACCAGUGGCGAAGGCGGCUUACUGGACUGUAACUGACGUUGAGGCUCGAAAGCGUGGGGAGCAAACAGGA